This 397-nucleotide ribosomal RNA is filed under the name uncultured bacterium. RNAcentral's name for it is "bacterial SSU rRNA". It matches the Rfam family "Bacterial small subunit ribosomal RNA", at positions 505 to 898 of the family's 1533-position model. The record is from RNAcentral.
GUGUCAGCAGCCGCGGUAAUACGGAGGAUCCAAGCGUUAUCCGGAAUCAUUGGGUUUAAAGGGUCCGUAGGCGGGCAAUUAAGUCAGCGGUGAAAUCUUGCAGCUCAACUGCAAGCCUGCCGUUGAUACUGGUUGUCUUGAAUUGAUGUGAAGUGGCUAGAAUAUGUGGUGUAGCGGUGAAAUGCAUAGAUAUCACAUGGAAUACCGAUUGCGAAGGCAGGUCACUAACAUUAUAUUGACGCUGAUGGACGAAAGCGUGGGGAUCAAACAGGAUUAGAUACCCUGGUAGUCCACGCCGUAAACGAUGGAUACUAGCUGUUCGGUGCACAUUGGUGUGCUGAGUGGCUAAGCGAAAGUGAUAAGUAUCCCACCUGGGGAGUACGUUCGCAAGAAUGAA